UAUUCACACUUCUAAUCUAACAAAUGCAACUUCGCACCAAUUUAAAAAUUGCGACUUUCAUAUCGCAACUUGUAAGUAGAAGUUACAAUGCAAACAUAUAUGGAAUUCCAGUGAAUAAAAAUUAUACUUCAAACAGCGAAAUUGGCAAAAGUAAAUGUAAAUUUAAAUUUUAACAGAAAUGUUAUUUUAUUGGACGAAGCUUUCAGUCUCAAUAAAAAAUGUUCCAACAUGAAACUAUUCUGGUCUUUCAAAAGUGUUUUGGACAAAAUUAGUGUUGUAUUUUAUCUAUGUGUUUACAUAUGUAAAUAUUUACUGUAACUAUUAUAAAAUAAGGCAGGUAUUUCAAUGGCAACUUGAAACAAUUUGUUCUGCUUAAAAUGAAGUAAUUUAUAUUGAACGAAUUUGGUCUUAAAGUGGAGAAGGGCAUGAAAUUUCGUCCGGCUCAAAUCGGCAGUGGAUUUUAGGAAUGUUUCAAAAUUAAAAGAUCAUAGAAUUCCCAUUUUAAAUAGUUUAAAAUUUUUCAGUGGUGCAAUAUCGAAGAGAUUCCAUUAGGUUUUCUUACUCAAUUGAAAAUUCACUUCUGAGAACUUUCUCCUUUACCUCUUUAAGAAUGAUUCGAUAGCCUUCAGAAUGCAUUAGAAUAUACUUCUGAUAUCCAGAUAAAACCCGAAAGAAAUAUUCAUAAUCUUCGAAUAUCCUAUGCAAGCGGCCUCUAAGCGGCGAGAUUGCUGCAAUUAUGUGGUCAUUACUUGGUAUUGUCUAAUGCAGUAGAUGAGAGAAUCUUUGCCAUUUGUCACCUGAUGUUAAGGAAAAGAGAGAAUAAAUAUGAAUGUGGCAACUUUUGGGGAAAAAUAGCAACUUGUAUUAUCUUCAGUUUGUACUGCAUUAUUUAUACCAAACGUUUUCCUAUUGAUUCAUCUGGAUUCAUUGUCAGUUGAAAUUGGUACCAUUUACUGGGAAGUGACAAUAUCCAAUGUCACUUUGCUGUUCCACCUGGAGACAAACAUUUUAUUGAGAGCAGACAACUGGAUAGCCAAGAAUCCAUAUUUCAUGAUAUACUGAAAUGAUAUUGGUUGGUAAAUUUAGAACCUGAUUUACUGCGGAAUAAAGGCAUGGCAUCUACAAGGAGCAAGACUGCUUUUUACGUUCCAUAUGACUUAUAAAUUAGAUUCAAAAAAGUAUUUUAAGAUGACUUGUAGCAAUGGAAAUUCAAGAUCAGUUACAGCAUUCAACUUUCACAUGAAAUACGGAGGAAUUCAAGUACCUGUAUUCAUUCUGUGUAUAUAGGGGGCCGAAGUAAUCCAGAAUCUGAGAAUGAAAUCGGCAUUCGACAUCCAUGUGUUCAAUUGGGAACCUCUUCAGGAGUUGAAUCAGUUAGUACAAAAAAAUGAUUCAGGUAAAUUUGCUUUGCUUUUCUGUACGGCCUGAAGGUAAGUUAUUUUCUGAGAAACGAAUAAACUGUAUUAAUAUUGGUAUCGAGAAAUAUUCUGUCAACUUCAAUAUUGUAGUAGUUAACGUAUUCAUAAAUUAUUGAAGCUACUGAAAUGUAAUCGCGUAUCUCAACAUGACGAUCCUUAAUUUUCCCUAAGCUACAAAAUGAAAAUUGAAUGUUUUUAACGAAACUUCAUAUUGCGUUUGUAUAUAAGGUAGUGCCCAUUUGGAGGAAAUUUUGAAUUUUUAAACAUAAGCUGUAUUUGUUACUAGAGGUUAAUUAGUGCUAUUUAUUUUAAAUCUGCAUAUAAAUGAAGAAAAAUUGAGGUACCAGCUCUAUAUUAAAAAUAGCAUGUUUAGAUAAAUUGUUUUACAAAUUUGUUUGAUACUGCGAUAUUUUUUACUGCCAACGGAUAUUCUGAGCUUUCAAAACAUUUCCUAAGAAACGUGGAUAAGUAUUUAGUUCCAUAAAUAAGGUUAUCGGAAUAAAUUCCUUUUCAUACUUCAAAUUAUCUAUGUAGUGUAAAGAAUUUUUGCUCUUUAAUUCUACUGCGUUUAUUGUAUUUUUGGUGCUUGGAUUCGAAUUGGUUCAUCUACAUAUGUAAUACUUUCAGAUGUCUGCUAACAUGACUUAACCGAGAUCAGCACAGCGAAAUAACACUCUCGUCGAGCGCAUUUUGGCGUUAUAUUUUACAGUUAUGGAUGGAGAGCCCACAGAUACAGCUGACUAUCUAUAUCAAUUUAUAUCGUGCUAAAAAUGUCCGAUUACGAAUAAAGGUCCACAGAGCUGAAUUAUUAAUAUAUAGCUCAUCUCCACUGUGCAAAUUCUAUACCCGUGUGUUCCUGACAUAAAUUCUACGGGUAGUAGCAAUCUGGAUUGUCAUACCUUAUCUCUUGGGUACCAACUUGGGAAAUCGGUUGGAGGUCUUACGUCCUAAAAUUAUUUUGUUAAAUAAAGUCUUGCCAUCCACAACCAGAAGAUCGACUACAUUUACAACUCAUUCUUCAUGAAUUGACACAAUUUAUGCUGGAUACAGGAAACAGAUGACACCGAAAUAGAAAAACAUACAAUGCCUUUUAACAACCAUUACCACGGAAGAAUCGUGAACCUUCAUCGAAUGCAUUUUUGAAUUCGCCCACAAUUCUCCUGGAGAAGCUUUGAAGAUGCAGGUGAUCCAGUUGAGCUCUUGUAAAGCUUGCGAUUCAUUUCAAGCACUGUCAUCAAAGAUUAGUAUAAAAUUACCAUCAUGUGAACAGUCUGAACAGGAGAAAUGUUAUUGCGAUCUGCGUUAUUUCUGAAUAUCCAUAAAUCUUUAAAAUGUUUGCUCC
Molecule: long non-coding RNA, 2760 nt
Organism: Argiope bruennichi
Lineage: Eukaryota; Metazoa; Arthropoda; Arachnida; Araneae; Araneidae
Exons: 6
Source: RefSeq, a predicted model, not a curated record